AGAGUUUGAUCCUGGCUCAGAACGAACGCUGGCGGCGUGCUUAAUACAUGCAAGUCGAACGUGAAGUGUAGCAAUACAUGGAAAGUGGCGAACGGGUGAGUAACACGUAAGCAAUCUGCCUCUAAGAUUGGGAUAACCCUGCCAACGCGGGGCUAAUACCGGAUGUGGUCCGGAUGACGCAUGUUGUCUGGAUUAAAGGAGUGAUCCGCUUAGAGAUGAGCUUGCGUCCCAUUAGCUAGUUGGUGCGGGUAACGGCCCACCAAGGCUGCGAUGGGUAGCCGGCCUGAGAGGGUGAUCGGCCACAUUGGGACUGAGAUACGGCCCAGACUCCUACGGGAGGCAGCAGUAGGGAAUUUUGCGCAAUGGGCGAAAGCCUGACGCAGCAACGCCGCGUGAGGGAUGACGGCCUUCGGGUUGUAAACCUCUGUUGAGUGGGAAAAAAGGGUAGCAAUACUUUGAUGGUACCAUUCGAGUAAGCACCGGCUAACUACGUGCCAGCAGCCGCGGUAAUACGUAGGGUGCAAGCGUUGUUCGGAAUCACUGGGCGUAAAGGGAGCGUAGGCGGGAUCGUAAGUUAGGAGUUUAAUGCAUGGGCUUAACCCAUGACUUGCUUUUAAUACUGCGGUUCUUGAGUAUGGGAGAGGGCGAUGGAAUUCCAGGUGUAGCGGUGGAAUGCGUAGAUAUCUGGAAGAACACCAGUAGCGAAGGCGGUCGCCUGGCCUAAUACUGACGCUGAGGCUCGAAAGCUAGGGGAGCAAACAGGAUUAGAUACCCUGGUAGUCCUAGCCGUAAACGAUGGACACUAGUUGCUGGAGGAGUCAAUCCUUUCAGUGACCAAGCUAACGCGAUAAGUGUCCCGCCUGGGAAGUACGGUCGCAAGACUGAAACUCAAAGGAAUUGACGG
Molecule: ribosomal RNA, 904 nt
Filed under: uncultured bacterium
Lineage: Bacteria
Description: bacterial SSU rRNA
Rfam family: Bacterial small subunit ribosomal RNA
Source: RNAcentral